CCUACGGGGUGCUGCAGUGAGGAAUAUUGGUCAAUGGGCUUACGCCUGAACCAGCCAAGUCGCGUGAGGGAAGACUGCCCUAUGGGUUGUAAACCUCUUUUGUCAGGGAGCAACGCCGGCUACGUGUAGCCGGACUGAGAGUACCUGAAGAAAAAGCAUCGGCUAACUCCGUGCCAGCAGCCGCGGUAAUACGGAGGAUGCGAGCGUUAUCCGGAUUUAUUGGGUUUACAGGGUGCGUAGGCGGAAUGUCAAGUCAGCGGUAAAAUCGCGGGGCUCAACCUCGCUCCGCCGUUGAAACUGGCAGUCUUGAGUACAGUAGAGGUGGGCGGAAGUCGUGGUGUAGCGGUGAAAUGCUUAGAUAUCACGAAGAACUCCGAUUGCGAAGGCAGCUCACUGGACUGCAACUGACGCUGAGGCUCGAAAGUGUGGGUAUCAAACAGGAUUAGAUACCCCAGUAGUC
RNAcentral lists this ribosomal RNA (460 nucleotides) under uncultured bacterium. RNAcentral describes it as "partial 16S ribosomal RNA". It matches the Rfam family "Bacterial small subunit ribosomal RNA", at positions 338 to 795 of the family's 1533-position model. The record is from RNAcentral.